Molecule: ribosomal RNA, 287 nt
Filed under: uncultured bacterium
Lineage: Bacteria
Description: partial 16S ribosomal RNA
Rfam family: Bacterial small subunit ribosomal RNA
Source: RNAcentral
GACGAACGCUGGCGGCGUGCUUAACACAUGCAAGUCGAGCGAGGCUCCUCCUUCGGGAGGAUGCCCUAGCGGCGAACGGGUGAGUAACACGUGGGCAACCUGCCCCUAGCACUGGGAUAACCCCGGGAACCGGAGCUAAUACCGGAUACGACUUCGAAGGACAUCCUCCGAAGUAGGAAAAGGUUUAACUGGCGUAGGGAGUGGGCCCGGCCGGCCUAUCAGCUUGUUGGUGGGGUAACGGCCCACCAAGGCGACGACGGGUAGCCGGCCUGAGAGGGCGACCGGCC